This 376-nucleotide unclassified non-coding RNA is filed under the name plant metagenome. Its description in RNAcentral is "partial contains 5.8S ribosomal RNA, internal transcribed spacer 2, and large subunit ribosomal RNA". The stretch from base 1 to 105 matches the Rfam family "5.8S ribosomal RNA", at positions 50 to 154 of the family's 154-position model. The record is from RNAcentral.
GAAAUGCGAUAAGUAAUGUGAAUUGCAGAAUUCAGUGAAUCAUCGAAUCUUUGAACGCACCUUGCGCUCCUUGGUAUUCCUUGGAGCAUGCCUGUUUGAGUAUCAUGAAAUCUUCAAAGUAAAUCUUUUGUUAACUCAAUUGGUUUCUACUUUGGUAUUGGAGGUCUUUGCAGCUUCACACCUGCUCCUCUUUGUUCAUUAGCUGGAUCUCAGUGUUAUGCUUGGUUCCACUCGGCGUGAUAAGUUAUCUAUCGCUGAGGACACUGUAAAAGGUGGAAGGUAAAUGCAGAUGAACCGCUUCUAAUAGUCCAUUGACUUGGACAAUACUUUUAUGAUCUGAUCUCAAAUCAGGUAGGACUACCCGCUGAACUUAAGC